This 277-nucleotide ribosomal RNA is filed under the name uncultured bacterium. Its description in RNAcentral is "partial 16S ribosomal RNA". It matches the Rfam family "Bacterial small subunit ribosomal RNA", at positions 28 to 316 of the family's 1533-position model. The record is from RNAcentral.
GAUUAACGCUGGCGGCGUGCCUAACACAUGCAAGUCGAACGAGGUAGCAAUACCUAGUGGCAGACGGGUGAGUAACACGUGGUCAACCUACCGCUCGGUGGGGGAUAACUACCCGAAAGGGUAGCUAAUACCGCAUACGUCUUGGCCGGCAUCGGCCGACGAUGAAAGAAGCAAUUCGCCGAGUGACGGGACCGCGUCCCAUUAGCUAGUUGGUGAGGUAACGGCCCACCAAGGCACCGAUGGGUAGCUGGUUUGAGAGAGCGACCAGCCACACUGG